UGGGGAAUUUUGGACAAUGGGCGAAAGCCUGAUCCAGCAAUGCCGCGUGUGUGAAGAAGGCCUUCGGGUUGUAAAGCACUUUUGUCCGGAAAGAAAUCCUUGGCUCUAAUACAGUCGGGGGAUGACGGUACCGGAAGAAUAAGCACCGGCUAACUACGUGCCAGCAGCCGCGGUAAUACGUAGGGUGCAAGCGUUAAUCGGAAUUACUGGGCGUAAAGCGUGCGCAGGCGGUUUGCUAAGACCGAUGUGAAAUCCCCGGGCUCAACCUGGGAACUGCAUUGGUGACUGGCAGGCUAGAGUAUGGCAGAGGGGGGUAGAAUUCCACGUGUAGCAGUGAAAUGCGUAGAGAUGUGGAGGAAUACCGAUGGCGAAGGCAGCCCCCUGGGCAAUACUGACGCUCAUGCACGAAAGCGUGGGGAGCAAACAGGAUUAGAUACCCUGGUAGUCCACGCCCUAAACGAUGUCAACUAGUUGUUGGGGAUUCAUUUCCUAGUAACGUAGCUAACGCGUGAAGUUGACCGCCUGGGGAGUACGGUCGCAAGAUUAAAACUUAAAGGAAUUGAUGGGGUCA
This 571-nucleotide ribosomal RNA is filed under the name uncultured bacterium. RNAcentral describes it as "partial 16S ribosomal RNA". It matches the Rfam family "Bacterial small subunit ribosomal RNA", at positions 355 to 921 of the family's 1533-position model. The record is from RNAcentral.